UACCUUUUGUAUAAUGGGUCAGCGACUUAUAUUCUGUAGCAAGGUUAACCGAAUAGGGGAGCCGGAGGGAAACCGAGUCUUAAUUGGGCGUUAAGUUGCAGGGUAUAGACCCGAAACCCGGUGAUCUAGCCAUGGGCAGGUUGAAGGUUGGGUAACACUAACUGGAGGACCGAACCGACUAAUGUUGAAAAAUUAGCGGAUGACCUGUGGCUGGGGGUGAAAGGCCAAUCAAACCGGGAGAUAGCUGGUUCUCCCCGAAAGCUAUUUAGGUAGCGCCUCGUGAAUUCAUCUCCGGGGGUAGAGCACUGUUUCGGCUAGGGGGCCAUCCCGGCUUACCAACCCGAUGCAAACUGCGAAUACCGGAGAAUGUUAUCACGGGAGACACACGGCGGGUGCUAACGUCCGUCGUGAAGAGGGAAACAACCCAGACCGCCAGCUAAGGUCCCAAAGUCAUGGUUAAGUGGGAAACGAUGUGGGAAGGCCCAGACAGCCAGGAUGUUGGCUUAGAAGCAGCCAUCAUUUAAAGAAAGCGUAAUAGCUCACUGGUCGAGUCGGCCUGCGCGGAAGAUGUAACGGGGCUAAACCAUGCACCGAAGCUGCGGCAGCGACACUGUGUGUUGUUGGGUAGGGGAGCGUUCUGUAAGCCUGUGAAGGUGUGUCGUGAGGCAUGCUGGAGGUAUCAGAAGUGCGAAUGCUGACAUAAGUAACGAUAAAGCGGGUGAAAAGCCCGCUCGCCGGAAGACCAAGGGUUCCUGUCCAACGUUAAUCGGGGCAGGGUGAGUCGACCCCUAAGGCGAGGCCGAAAGGCGUAGUCGAUGGGAAACGGGUUAAUAUUCCCGUACUUGGUGUUACUGCGAAGGGGGGACGGAGAAGGCUAUGUUGGCCGGGCGACGGUUGUCCCGGUUUAAGCGUGUAGGUGUGUGUUCCAGGUAAAUCCGGUUCACUUUAACACUGAGGCGUGACGACGAGGCACUACGGUGCUGAAGCAACAAAUGCCCUGCUUCCAGGAAAAGCCUCUAAGCAUCAGGUAACAUCAAAUCGUACCCCAAACCGACACAGGUGGUCAGGUAGAGAAUACCAAGGCGCUUGAGAGAACUCGGGUGAAGGAACUAGGCAAAAUGGUGCCGUAACUUCGGGAGAAGGCACGCUGACACGUAGGUGAAGUGAUUUACUCAUGGAGCUGAAGUCAGUCGAAGAUACCAGCUGGCUGCAACUGUUUAUUAAAAACACAGCACUGUGCAAACACGAAAGUGGACGUAUACGGUGUGACGCCUGCCCGGUGCCGGAAGGUUAAUUGAUGGGGUCAGCGCAAGCGAAGCUCCUGAUCGAAGCCCCGGUAAACGGCGGCCGUAACUAUAACGGUCCUAAGGUAGCGAAAUUCCUUGUCGGGUAAGUUCCGACCUGCACGAAUGGCGUAAUGAUGGCCAGGCUGUCUCCACCCGAGACUCAGUGAAAUUGAACUCGCUGUGAAGAUGCAGUGUACCCGCGGCAAGACGGAAAGACCCCGUGAACCUUUACUAUAGCUUGACACUGAACAUUGAGCCUUGAUGUGUAGGAUAGGUGGGAGGCUUUGAAGCGUGGACGCCAGUCUGCGUGGAGCCG
RNAcentral lists this ribosomal RNA (1602 nucleotides) under Salmonella enterica subsp. enterica serovar Stanley. RNAcentral's name for it is "partial 23S ribosomal RNA". It matches the Rfam family "Bacterial large subunit ribosomal RNA", at positions 602 to 2188 of the family's 2925-position model. Lineage: Bacteria; Pseudomonadati; Pseudomonadota; Gammaproteobacteria; Enterobacterales; Enterobacteriaceae. The record is from RNAcentral.